Molecule: long non-coding RNA, 432 nt
Filed under: Betta splendens (Siamese fighting fish)
Lineage: Eukaryota; Metazoa; Chordata; Actinopteri; Anabantiformes; Osphronemidae
Description: lncRNA (ENSBSLG00000008561.1)
Source: RNAcentral
GAAAAAGAAUGUGUCCAAACUAGACGGAUAGUCAGUCACUUUAGAACAACACAGAAAUAACUUAACACUUGUUUAAAACUUGUGCCCACUUGUUUUGUUUGUUAUUUUGUCAGCUAUGUUACAUAUUGACAUAAUCAAAUGAUAUAAGUAUUGUAUAUGACAAACUAUCAUCAAUAGAGUAAAGAGUAGAACACUAAGAUGUGUGUCUGGUGUCAGAGUUAGAAAUUAUAACAAUGAUGAAGCAGGUUCACUGUAAUAUUUACUGAACUUUAACUAAAUCUAAACUAUAACUUUAUGUGUGUGGCUGUGUUGCCCUUAUAGACCAGCAACAGGCAAACUGUCACACGAGUGUUGUAGAUGCAGGUGUAGAGUAUGAUGUAAAGGAAGAGGGAGGAGGUGAAACAUGAACGGAUAAAACCCUUGUAUGACUCA